RNAcentral lists this ribosomal RNA (99 nucleotides) under Staphylococcus epidermidis. RNAcentral's name for it is "partial 23S ribosomal RNA". It matches the Rfam family "Bacterial large subunit ribosomal RNA", at positions 2828 to 2925 of the family's 2925-position model. The record is from RNAcentral. Lineage: Bacteria; Bacillati; Bacillota; Bacilli; Caryophanales; Staphylococcaceae.
UAAGAUCCCUCGAAGAUGACGAGGUUAAUAGGUUCGAGGUGGAAGCGUGGUGACACGUGGAGCUGACGAAUACUAAUCGAUCGAAGACUUAAUCAAUUU